Molecule: ribosomal RNA, 342 nt
Filed under: uncultured bacterium
Lineage: Bacteria
Description: bacterial SSU rRNA
Rfam family: Bacterial small subunit ribosomal RNA
Source: RNAcentral
AGUGAACGCUGGCGGCAGGCCUAAUACAUGCAAGUCGAACGGCAGCACAGCAGAGCUUGCUCUGUGGGUGGCGAGUGGCGGACGGGUGAGGAAUACGUGGGAAUCUGCCCAGUCGUGGGGAUAACGUAGGGAAACUUACGCUAAUACCGCAUGCGCCCUUCGGGGAAAGCCGGGGACCUUCGGGCCUGGCGCGAUUGGAUGAGCCCACGUCGGAUUAGCUAGUUGGCGGGGUAAAGGCCCACCAAGGCGACGAUCCGUAGCUGGUCUGAGAGGAUGAUCAGCCACACUGGAACUGAGACACGGUCCAGACUCCUACGGGAGGCAGCAGUAGGGAAUAUUGGA